RNAcentral lists this non-coding RNA (24 nucleotides) under Arabidopsis thaliana (thale cress). The record is from RNAcentral. Lineage: Eukaryota; Viridiplantae; Streptophyta; Magnoliopsida; Brassicales; Brassicaceae.
GAUGUGCUUCAAGUGCCUGGCCGU